UUGAUCAUGGCUCAGAUUGAAUAUGGCGGGAUGCUUUACACAUGCAAGUCGAAACGGCAGCGGUCGACUUUACCCGGUGGCGAGUGGCGAACGGGUGAGUAAUGUAUCGAACGUGCCUGUAGUGUGGGGAGAAUCUGCGCGGAAACCAGCUGGGCUGCUGCAAUGCUGCUCUUCGGGGAAAAGUAGACCUCCGUCUUCGCACUAUUAGAGCGGCUGAUAUCGGAUGCUAGUUGAAGCAGGGUAACGGCUCACCAAGGCGACGAUCCCGUGGCUGGUUUGAGAGGACGACCAGCCAAACACCUGACUGAGACGGCCUUGAGCUCACGGAUGCAGCAGUGGGGAAAUUUUGGAUAAUGGGGAAACCCCGGAUCCAGCCAUCCUGCAGGGAAGAUGGUGUCUUCGGGGUUAAAAAGCACUUUUGGCAGGAAAGAAAAUGCACGAUAAUACCCCGUGCAACUGACGGUACUCUGCAGAAUACACUAUUAACUACGUGCCAGCAGCCGCGGUAAUACGUAGGUGUUACGCAUCGGAACUCGCUAUGUAAAGUGGCGGGCGGGAAGUAGUCUGGCGUUACGCGUGAAAAUCCAGAGCUUAACUUUGGAACUGCAUUUUUAACUACCGAGCUAGAGUCAGAGGGAGGUGAAUUCCGCGUGUAGCAGUGAAAUGCGUAGAUAUGCGGAGGAACACCGAUGGCGAAGGCCUCCUUGGGGAUAACACUGACGCUCAUGCACGAAAGCGUGGGGAGCAAACAGGAUUAGAUACCCUGGUAGUCCACGCCCUAAACGAUGCCAAUCUAGCUGUUGGGGCCUUCGGCCUUGGUAGCAGCUAACGCGUGAAGUUGACCGCCUGGGGAGUACGGUCGCAAGAUUAAAACUCAAAGAAUGAUGACCCGCACAAGCGGUGGUGAUGUGAUUAAUCGAUGCAACGCGAAAACCUACUCUACCUUGAUAUGUUCAAAUCCCGAAGAGAUUUGGGAGUGCUCGCAACGGGAAACGCGUGCUGCAUGCUGCCGUCAGCCUGUGUCGCAGAUGUUGGGUUAAGUCCCGCAACGAGCGCAACCCUUGUCAUUAGUUGCUACGAAAGGCACUCUAAUGACUGCCGGUGACAAACCGGAUAUGGUGGCGGGAUGGACGUCAAGUCCAUGGCGCCUUGCGGUAGGGCUUGCUAUCGUCGCGCGGGCUGCUCGUAUUGCGGUCGCCAACCCGCGAGGGACGCCAAUCCCAGAAACCUCGAUCGUAGUCCGGAUCGCAGUCUGCAACUCGACUGCGUGAAGUCGAAUCGCUAGUAAUCGCGGACUGCAUGGUUUGCGGCACAUGUUCCUGGCCCGCAAGAUCGCCCGUCACACCAUGGGGAGUGGGUUUUACCAGGUGAAGUUAGCCUAACCGUAAGGAGGGCGAUUACCACGGGUAGGAUUCAUGACUAGCGGCGUCGUACUGCUGCAG
Molecule: ribosomal RNA, 1442 nt
Filed under: uncultured Bordetella sp.
Lineage: Bacteria; Pseudomonadati; Pseudomonadota; Betaproteobacteria; Burkholderiales; Alcaligenaceae
Description: partial 16S-23S ribosomal RNA intergenic spacer
Rfam family: Bacterial small subunit ribosomal RNA
Source: RNAcentral